This 886-nucleotide ribosomal RNA is filed under the name Enterobacter cloacae. RNAcentral's name for it is "partial 23S ribosomal RNA". It matches the Rfam family "Bacterial large subunit ribosomal RNA", at positions 1917 to 2802 of the family's 2925-position model. The record is from RNAcentral. Lineage: Bacteria; Pseudomonadati; Pseudomonadota; Gammaproteobacteria; Enterobacterales; Enterobacteriaceae.
GCCCCGGUAAACGGCGGCCGUAACUAUAACGGUCCUAAGGUAGCGAAAUUCCUUGUCGGGUAAGUUCCGACCUGCACGAAUGGCGUAAUGAUGGCCAGGCUGUCUCCACCCGAGACUCAGUGAAAUUGAACUCGCUGUGAAGAUGCAGUGUACCCGCGGCAAGACGGAAAGACCCCGUGAACCUUUACUAUAGCUUGACACUGAACACUGGUCCUUGAUGUGUAGGAUAGGUGGGAGGCUUUGAAGCGUGGACGCCAGUCUGCGUGGAGCCGUCCUUGAAAUACCACCCUUUAAUGGCUGGUGUUCUAACGUAGACCCGUUACCCGGGUUGCGGACAGUGUCUGGUGGGUAGUUUGACUGGGGCGGUCUCCUCCCAAAGAGUAACGGAGGAGCACGAAGGUUAGCUAAUCCUGGUCGGACAUCAGGAGGUUAGUGCAAUGGCAUAAGCUAGCUUGACUGCGAGAGUGACGGCUCGAGCAGGUGCGAAAGCAGGUCAUAGUGAUCCGGUGGUUCUGAAUGGAAGGGCCAUCGCUCAACGGAUAAAAGGUACUCCGGGGAUAACAGGCUGAUACCGCCCAAGAGUUCAUAUCGACGGCGGUGUUUGGCACCUCGAUGUCGGCUCAUCACAUCCUGGGGCUGAAGUAGGUCCCAAGGGUAUGGCUGUUCGCCAUUUAAAGUGGUACGCGAGCUGGGUUUAGAACGUCGUGAGACAGUUCGGUCCCUAUCUGCCGUGGGCGCUGGAGAAUUGAGGGGGGCUGCUCCUAGUACGAGAGGACCGGAGUGGACGCAUCACUGGUGUUCGGGUUGUCAUGCCAAUGGCACUGCCCGGUAGCUAAAUGCGGAAGAGAUAAGUGCUGAAAGCAUCUAAGCACGAAACUUGCCCCGA